Ostrinia nubilalis (European corn borer) is the source of this 1880-nucleotide RNA transcript. It is a transcript of the gene named tetratricopeptide repeat protein 5-like, with no coding region annotated. Lineage: Eukaryota; Metazoa; Arthropoda; Insecta; Lepidoptera; Crambidae. The record is from RefSeq and is a predicted model, not a curated record. The transcript is spliced from 3 exons.
ACGAGAGCAUGCAAUGCGCGUGCGUGACGGUGUACAACUGGGCCGACGGGCGCGGCGCCAUCAUCGGCGACUGCGUGUGCAUCCCCGAGCCGCGGCUCAGCGUGCACCAGCGGGACUCGCCGGACUUGAAAUACGACUUCAAAUCGAUACGCGUGAACAACCCGAUGCAGAUCCUUCUCAACGGGAAGCGAGUGGGCCGCAACCAGUUUGCUUGUACCAAGGUCACCAGCACCUACGAGAUACACUGAGAUUGUAUGGUACGUGGAUGGGAUUGGGUGAGAGCGGCGCUGGGAUUGGGUGAAACGACGCUAGGAAUGGAAUGUGCUGUCGAUUUAGCGAGGGCUUCCGUAAUUACGCUCACCAUUUGGCACCACUGGCACGUAAAGUCCUACCAUUCGCUACUGGCUAACACAGUGGCGCCACCUAGAAUGAUAAACUAUAGAAAAGAAACAUAUUUUUCGAAAUUAUUUACGGUGAGCCGUCCUACAGACGAUUUGAGGAGUUAAAAUAUGAAGUAGUAAUGGAAUAAAAUAAUAAAUGACUGGAAUUUAGAAUUUUCGAUGGUAUAUCCUAGCGUCGCAUGGUUGCUAUUUUUUAUAAAAAUGUUUCCAUGUAACAUGGAAUGCAUUGGGUUAAAAUAUGAUAUCAAAUGAAGAGCUAUGCUUAUUUAAACUUUUAACUGGUGCAUGCCACCAUAAUUAUGCUUUAUGCAGAUACAAUAAGUUUUAAACAUUAAAGAGGCCAAAAUGAUUCGGAGGUGAAUUGUUUUAGGCUGAGCGUAAGCGAGAAAGGGACGCAAAUGUCACAGAACAGUAUAGCACUAAGCAAAAAAAGGUCUUUACGUACCUUUAUCGUUAUAUUGUACUUUCUUACAACAUGUGGACGAUAUUUGCUUGAUGACUGUUCUAUGCUCAUUUUUAGUCUUGAAUGAAUUUUAAUACAUUGAUUUUUCCAAUCUUUUAAUUCCCAGUAAAACAGUUAAAAUUUUUCAAUAAAAUUAUCCAUACAAAAUAUGUAGUAGAAUUUUCUUAUAAUAUUUUGAUACAAACGGUAGAUUGAUACAUUGGUCAAAGUAUACAAAAUCCAUACAGGGUUGUCUAUUAUUCGUGAUCAUCACUUUUUGUACUAUCGCCCUGAAAUCAAUCAAGGUUAUUCGAAUGGGCAGAAUGUGUUUCUGACAAGCAGGAAAUAUGGUAAAAUUGUCGUAUAAAUGACAACAUUAUCUAUGAACAAUGUCAAUUUGACAGUCUUUCUAUAUUUCUACUUUUAACAAAAACACUGCGACAUUUUGACGUUGCUUUCAUAGAUAAUGCUGCCACAGAAUAGACUUAUCUGUGUAGGUAAAAUACUAUUUAUUACACUACUCACUAAACUAAGUUAGAUGUAAGUUAUUAUUCAGAAGCGAGAGAAUUUGCUAUGAUGAAAAACUUUGACAUAAAAUUUGAAUUAAUGAAAAAAAUGCUAAAAUUGUUUAUUGAUAUUUUAUUUGAACAGUAUUAUGUUUGUUAAACAAGAGUUUUAAAUUACUAAAAUGUUAAAUUAUUACAUUAUAUUUAGGUUCAUGUUUUCAUGUCUUAUUUUAUGUGAAAAAAUGACUUCAAAAUAUUUCCAAGUGUUAAAACUUCACCAAAACAUUAUGGCAAAUUUUUAUUAAUUGUUUAGGCGGAAUGCACCUCAUAUAACAUUCAUAUCUUCUUAAAAUACAUACAUACAUAAAUAUGGUACAUACUUAAUAGUGCACAUUUAAUUUAAUUAAUUCUACUAACCUUUAGGCAAAGUUGUGAAACAUUCCUAGUCUUUAAUGAAACAAUUUGUUAGUCCUUUACACAACAUUUAAUAGAUGCGAUACAAAAAUGUAAUAAAAGUGCUGUUUUUAUAAA